AGAGAAUGCAUCUGCCAUUAAUACACUGUACACUCCGAAUAGAAGCCUUCACAAUACAGUGGAAUGAAUUCAUAUAUAUGAAUAUUCACUUAGGACUAGAUUUAUAUAUAUAUAUAUAUAGAUUUAUGCAAUGAUUGUUAAUUGCAGACGUAUGGAGAUUCCAAUAUAAAAGCCUAUCCAGAUGACAAUCAUGGAUGAAAAUAGCAAAAUGUGAUUCCAGUGAUAUCUCAUUAACCCAGGAUUAGUGUAUGGCUGGCCCCCUGACUUGGAAUUUACCCAGCAACAGCGGCAUAUAAGGCUGUGAAUCAGGGGUGACUGAGAGGCCCAAGCUGCAGACAGCAAGGGGGCUUAUCUUAGCGGGCAUUUACUGUGACUUCAUUAGGAUUGUGGGCUUCCUCUGCCUACCUGCAUUUUGUAGGGCAACAGGGGUCAUAACUGUAAAGCAAUGAGGUUUCAAAUACUUUAACAGGUAUCCUAAUGCAAGUUAUCUCCAGAAGGUAUUUGUUCUGUACAUUAUUAGGGAGGAAAGCAUACCCUGAACACAGGACACUCUUUCAGCACAGGACUGGCAGGCUCCUGUAUGGUUUUUCCUGAUGCCCUUGCAUGUCUAUGGAGUUCUGCUACUAAGAGCGCAGCCAAGUAACUGGAGAAGGACCUGGUUCUGGCCAGAAUGUGGAGGGAGAUACAUUCACACUGUGUGUAAAUGGUUCUGAGUGCCGGACAAGGGUCCCGACCUUCUGCAGAUGGUGGCUCCUCCAGCACC
Paramormyrops kingsleyae is the source of this 763-nucleotide non-coding RNA. The record is from RefSeq and is a predicted model, not a curated record. Lineage: Eukaryota; Metazoa; Chordata; Actinopteri; Osteoglossiformes; Mormyridae.